GACGAACGCUGGCGGCGUGCUUAACACAUGCAAGUCGAACGGAAAGGCCCUGCUUUUGUGGGGUGCUCGAGUGGCGAACGGGUGAGUAACACGUGAGUAACCUGCCCUUGACUUUGGGAUAACUUCAGGAAACUGGGGCUAAUACCGGAUAGGAGCUCCUGUUGCAUGGUGGGGGUUGGAAAGUUUCGGCGGUUGGGGAUGGACUCGCGGCUUAUCAGCUUGUUGGUGGGGUAGUGGCUUACCAAGGCUUUGACGGGUAGCCGGCCUGAGAGGGUGACCGGCCACAUUGGGACUGAGAUACGGCCCAGACUCCUACGGGAGGCAGCAGUGGGGAAUAUUGCACAAUGGGCGGAAGCCUGAUGCAGCAACGCCGCGUGCGGGAUGACGGCCUUCGGGUUGUAAACCGCUUUCGCCUGUGACGAAGCGUGAGUGACGGUAGUGGGUAAAGAAGCACCGGCUAACUACGUG
This 468-nucleotide ribosomal RNA is filed under the name uncultured bacterium. RNAcentral's name for it is "partial 16S ribosomal RNA". It matches the Rfam family "Bacterial small subunit ribosomal RNA", at positions 28 to 507 of the family's 1533-position model. The record is from RNAcentral.